Equus caballus (horse) is the source of this 794-nucleotide long non-coding RNA. RefSeq lists it as uncharacterized. The record is from RefSeq and is a predicted model, not a curated record. NCBI's taxonomy places the organism in Eukaryota, Metazoa, Chordata, Mammalia, Perissodactyla, Equidae.
GAGGUCUGGCCCUCUGCCGGGUGCUCUCUUUCUGAUGAACUUUGUGGUCUUGGAUCAGGCCCUUCAGCUAAUUGUACCAUCUCUAAGGUGAUAUGGGGUGUCAUGAAGCUUCCUGACUUGCGAGGUGUUAUCUCAGGGGACUUUAUUCCACCCAGAAGAUAGGAAUCACAGCCUCCUGCCGUCCUGCAUAAUUAAAACACAUCUUUCUUUUCAAUGGACUGACUCAUUGUUUGUUUUUCUUCUCAUACACUUGGUGACCCCCCCCCCCCCACUGCUUCCUCAUGGCUGUCUCUCUCCUUGUCUCCCGCCACAGUCGUCUCCAGGGCCCAUGUGGCCAAGGAAGCAGUUAUCCACAUGCCACACAGUAGGGCUGACUCUUCACUUAGGAGCUGCCUUUGUGCUGCCAGUAGAGGCAGUAACCGUGGUCUUCAAGAAAAUAUUCUCCCCCUGAGCGCUGAGAACAUCCAGCACCAAGAGGAGAGGAGAUGCCAAAGCGGGACUGAAAGAACUAAAGGCUCAGAUGGAGGAAUCUCUUCUGGGCCCUCCAAGUAGGACCCCUUCCCUGGAGGGGGGGAGAUUCUGCCAAAGAGCACCAGGGACAGAGGCCUUGCACUACAACUGCUGAGCCCUUCGCCCUUGUUUGGUUGGCUGUAUAGGUCUUUGCUUUCAGGUACAAUACCCUGCAAAUGCACACAAAGCACACAGUUCACAUGAUGACUUUCGUGGGGCCUAUGUACUUUUGCCUUCCUGGGCGCUCUCACCCAUAAAAUAUUAAAAAGUAUUUUUUACCACUG